CACGGGGUGGAGCAGUGGACAGCUCGCCAAUUUGACUUGUUGGAGGCCGCAAGUUCGAUUCUUGCCCCCGCAA
RNAcentral lists this transfer RNA (73 nucleotides) under Tannerellaceae bacterium. Its description in RNAcentral is "tRNA-Ser". It matches the Rfam family "tRNA". From Rfam's summary of the family: Transfer RNA (tRNA) molecules are approximately 80 nucleotides in length. Their secondary structure includes four short double-helical elements and three loops (D, anti-codon, and T loops). The record is from RNAcentral. Lineage: Bacteria; Pseudomonadati; Bacteroidota; Bacteroidia; Bacteroidales; Tannerellaceae.